RNAcentral lists this small nuclear RNA (22 nucleotides) under Arabidopsis thaliana (thale cress). Its description in RNAcentral is "snRNA_16704". The record is from RNAcentral. Lineage: Eukaryota; Viridiplantae; Streptophyta; Magnoliopsida; Brassicales; Brassicaceae.
AAAUCGUUCGUCUGACUUGGGU